ACCAGACUCCUACGGGAGGCAGCAGUGGGGAAUAUUGGACAAUGGGGGGAACCCUGAUCCAGCGACGCCGCGUGAGUGAAGAAGUAUUUCGGUAUGUAAAGCUCUAUCAGCAGGGAAGAAAGAAAUGACGGUACCUGACUAAGAAGCCCCGGCUAACUACGUGCCAGCAGCCGCGGUAAUACGUAGGGGGCAAGCGUUAUCCGGAUUUACUGGGUGUAAAGGGGGCGCAGACGGCAGCGCAAGCCAGGAGUGAAAGCCCGGGGCCCAACCCCGGGACUGCUCUUGGAACUGCGCGGCUGGAGUGCAGGAGGGGCAGGCGGAAUUCCUGGUGUAGCGGUGAAAUGCGUAGAUAUUAGGAGGAACACCAGUGGCGAAGGCGGCUUACUGGACUGUAACUGACGUUGAGGCUCGAAAGCGUGGGGAGCAAACAGGAUUAGAUACCCUAGUACC
RNAcentral lists this ribosomal RNA (450 nucleotides) under uncultured bacterium. RNAcentral's name for it is "bacterial SSU rRNA". It matches the Rfam family "Bacterial small subunit ribosomal RNA", at positions 330 to 794 of the family's 1533-position model. The record is from RNAcentral.